RNAcentral lists this ribosomal RNA (509 nucleotides) under uncultured bacterium. RNAcentral's name for it is "bacterial SSU rRNA". It matches the Rfam family "Bacterial small subunit ribosomal RNA", at positions 28 to 536 of the family's 1533-position model. The record is from RNAcentral.
GACGAACGCUGGCGGCGUGCCUAACACAUGCAAGUCGAGCGGGGUUGAAGCGAGAGGUAACUCGAACUUCUACCUAGCGGCGGACGGGUGAGUAACGCGUGGGCAACCUGCCUCAAGGUCUGGGAUAACAGCCCGAAAGGGCUGCUAAUACUGGGUAUGCUUGUGGCCUCGCAUGGGGCUAUGAGCAAAGGGGAAACCCGCCUUGAGAUGGGCCCGCGUCCCAUCAGCUAGUUGGUGAGGUAACAGCUCACCAAGGCGACGACGGGUAGCCGGCCUGAGAGGGUGACCGGCCACACUGGGACUGAGACACGGCCCAGACUCCUACGGGGGGCAGCAGUGGGGGAUCUUGCACAAUGGGCGAAAGCCUGAUGCAGCGACGCCGCGUGAGCGAAGAAGGCCUCGGUUGUAAAGCUCUGUCUGUAGGGACGAAGGAAGGUAGACGGGUACCUUCCGGACGGGAAGCCGACGGCGUAACGUACGUGCCAGCAGCCGCGGUAAAGUACACGUCG